Molecule: ribosomal RNA, 322 nt
Filed under: uncultured Bacillota bacterium
Lineage: Bacteria; Bacillati; Bacillota
Description: bacterial SSU rRNA
Rfam family: Bacterial small subunit ribosomal RNA
Source: RNAcentral
GAUGAACGCUGGCGGCAUGCCUAAUACAUGCAAGUCGAGCGAUGAAGCUCCUUCGGGAGCGGAUUAGCGGCGGACGGGUGAGUAACACGUGGGUAACCUGCCUCAUAGAGGGAAUAGCCUUUCGAAAGGAAGAUUAAUACCGCAUAAGAUUGUAGUUUCGCAUGAAACAGCAAUUAAAGGAGUAAUCCGCUAUGAGAUGGACCCCGCGUCGCAUUAGCUAGUUGGUGAGGUAACGGCUCACCAAGGCGACGAUGCGUAGCCGACCUGAGAGGGUGAUCGGCCACAUUGGGACUGAGACACGGCCCAGACUCCACGGGUGCUG